GAUGAAGAACGUAGCGAAAUGCGAUAAGUAAUGUGAAUUGCAGAAUUCAGUGAAUCAUCGAAUCUUUGAACGCACCUUGCACCCUUUGGCAUUCCGAAGGGUAUGCUCGUUUGAGUGUCAUUGUACUCUCACACUCUCCGAUCCUAUGGAUUCGGGGAGCGGUGGACUUGGGUGUUGCUGCCUUUCCCUGUGGCUCACCUCAAAUGCGUCAGUGCACCUCUUGGUUGGACAUAGUACGGCGUGAUAAGUGUAUUCGCCGGCACCUCGCAAGAGGGUGGCCGAUCGGGAGCUCUGCGCUUUCAAACCGUCUUCGGACAAUUUCUGACAUCUUGACCUCAAAUCGAGUAGGACUACCCGCUGAACUUAAGCAUAUCAAUAAGCGGAGGA
RNAcentral lists this unclassified non-coding RNA (387 nucleotides) under soil metagenome. RNAcentral's name for it is "partial contains 5.8S ribosomal RNA, internal transcribed spacer 2, and large subunit ribosomal RNA". The stretch from base 1 to 120 matches the Rfam family "5.8S ribosomal RNA", at positions 35 to 154 of the family's 154-position model. The record is from RNAcentral.